This 266-nucleotide ribosomal RNA is filed under the name uncultured bacterium. RNAcentral describes it as "partial 16S ribosomal RNA". It matches the Rfam family "Bacterial small subunit ribosomal RNA", at positions 793 to 1055 of the family's 1533-position model. The record is from RNAcentral.
GUCCACGCCGUAAACGAUGAGUGCUAGACGUUGGGAGGCCUAGCCUUCCGGUGUCGCAGCUAACGCAUUAAGCACUCCGCCUGGGGAGUACGGCCGCAAGGUUAAAACUCAAAGGAAUUGACGGGGCCCGCACAAGCGGUGGAGCAUGUGGUUUAAUUCGAAGCAACGCGCAGAACCUUACCAGCCCUUGACAUGGGAGGUGUGAGCCUGGGAGACCGGGUUCUUCAGUUCGGCUGGCUCCCGCACAGGUGCUGCAUGGCUGUCGU